Molecule: long non-coding RNA, 732 nt
Organism: Bos taurus (domestic cattle)
Lineage: Eukaryota; Metazoa; Chordata; Mammalia; Artiodactyla; Bovidae
Source: Ensembl
GCUGCGGGCCCUCCCCUCCCCCACGGUGCCCCGUCUGGCCAAAGGACAAAUCUCAAGGGGAAACCUGCAAAGACAAACAAGGAGCAGUGACUUCAUUAUCGUCGUUAAUUUGCCACUUCAGUUCCUCCCACAAGGGUCAGAGCCGGCACGGCUUGAACUCAGGACUGAGGCGGAGGCCGAGCCGGCCGCCUGCCUUUUCCGCCUUAAGCCUCUCCCACAGCCACUCGGCCUCCCCUCCUCCUCCCGGCCUUCAUUUCUCUGCAGGGGGUCAGGCUCCGGGUUUUUCUCUUCCGUUUCGCAGUCCUCGCAGCCUCAGCCUACCGCCCUCCUUUUUCAUUUAAAUUAUUUGGCCUUCCCUCCGGCUCUCCUGGCUCCAAAGGUUUGAAGACCACAUAGCCUGGUGACGCAGGGAAUGGGAGGAAGGAGUCUGUGGUACAAGCAAGAAAAGUAAUACAGAAGGUGGAAAUGGCUGGAUUGAAAGGAAGACAACUGUGAUAAGGGAUGACAGGCACCUGAGUCAAGGCCCCUGACCAGUGACUACCACAAUCAUCAAUCAUGACUGAUAAGCAAACUCCAAGGCAGCCUGAAAAGGCCAGAGAGAUCCAUUCAGACCCCGAAGGAAAGGGCACGGAGUCCUAGAUGGGUAGACCAGUUAUGCAGCCAAGGUGUGACACACAGUGACAAGAACACACAGCGAGAGGAUCGCCCGGAUAGGAAGUCACAUCCGGAGAC